UACGUAGGUGGCAAGCGUUGUCCGGAAUUAUUGGGCGUAAAGCGCGCGCAGGCGGCCUCUUAAGUCUGAUGUGAAAGCCCCCGGCUCAACCGGGGAGGGCCAUUGGAAACUGGGAGGCUUGAGUAUAGGAGAGAAGAGUGGAAUUCCACGUGUAGCGGUGAAAUGCGUAGAGAUGUGGAGGAACACCAGUGGCGAAGGCGACUCUUUGGCCUAUAACUGACGCUGAGGCGACGAAGCGUGGGAGCAAACAGG
This 252-nucleotide ribosomal RNA is filed under the name uncultured bacterium. RNAcentral describes it as "partial 16S ribosomal RNA". It matches the Rfam family "Bacterial small subunit ribosomal RNA", at positions 524 to 776 of the family's 1533-position model. The record is from RNAcentral.